CCAUAAUAAGGAGUCAAACCUAAGGAUUACAACAAGCUUUCCAACUCUUUAUCCAAGCUCGGAUUAAUGAGGAAGAUUGGUUUGGAUCCACUAAAAAAGCCCAAGAAAAUAAGCUACCCAACCAAUUAACCCAAGUGCAUAAUGGUUUUAUCAGCUUGCUUCAAGCACAUGAUGAAAAUGGGUAAGAAAAUGAAGCAAUCGGCCAAGAAAAGGGGGAAGACCAUAUCUAU
This 230-nucleotide long non-coding RNA is filed under the name Carica papaya (papaya). RNAcentral's name for it is "long non-coding RNA (CPAP_LNC013218)". Lineage: Eukaryota; Viridiplantae; Streptophyta; Magnoliopsida; Brassicales; Caricaceae. The record is from RNAcentral.